Molecule: long non-coding RNA, 7342 nt
Filed under: Homo sapiens (human)
Lineage: Eukaryota; Metazoa; Chordata; Mammalia; Primates; Hominidae
Description: HSALNT0330723
Source: RNAcentral
CCUUUAUUUUCUGGCCCUUUUCUACUAUGUUCCAUCUUUUCUUAUUCCAUACCCUUUCCCUAACAUGUCAAAUAAUGAGACUAAAAACAAUUCUAUUUAAUUUUUGACAGCUUGUUUUACUCAAAAAACUUUGAAGAGUAAAAGAGGAUGGGUUUACAUGUUAUGUUUCCUGAAAAAAAAAAUGUGUUCUCUUGAAUUUUCCAGUGAUACCCUUUUUUAUUUUUUUGGGAGCUUAAGUUUUACUAGAUUUUUUGUGCACAGAAAUAAUCGAAGUUCACAAUUUUAGGCUAGGGUAUUUCUGUCAGCACCAGCAAACCUGGCAUUGUUGGACUUCUUACAGGGGGGCCAGAAGCUGCAGUCUGUUCUCCCUCAGUACUCCUCUAUCUUUGAGUAAACCCCACUGCUUCCUUGAUAACCUGCCCCUCCACACUCCUCCUGUUUAUUUAUAUUUUCAUGUAUUCAUUCUAUCAACAAACAUUUUUGAAGAGACUUUUAUGUGCCAAGUACAGUGCUAAACAGAUGAGAAAUAACAGGCAUAGUCUUGAAGUUAGCUAAAGGAGCGAAUAGACUCAUGGAGAGAAAGCCAACUGUUCCACUUUAGUGCAGAGUUGUUAAAGGAUAUAACGGGGUAAUUAAGUGACACCACAGGGACUUUUAGGGGAUGCCCAACUUAGUGUUGUGGGGUUGAGGGGAGACUUCCCUAAAAAGUAACACUUGAGGUUGAGGGCUGUUAGCAGAAGUAGGAGAAAGCCAGGCAACUAGGGAUAUUUCCUUCUAACUUCUAUCUCCUCCCAUGCACGGAUUAUUCUGGUCUUGGCUGAGAGACUUCUCUUCCUAAUGUUCUGCAGUCAUCCUGGCUGACUUCAACAUCCAUGCAGAAGGCCCAACCAACACCCAAACUUCUAUUUCACCAUUUCCUCAACACCAGUGACCUUUGCCUGUUUUCUCUAUCAAAAUAUGAACAUGCCAAUGGCAAACCCUUUUUCAGCCAAAAUGUAUUAGGAUUUAUGUAAUUGAAUUCUCUGAAUAUUAAGCUAUGUUUAUUUUCCUUCUCUGCCCCCCCCAAAUUAACUUUUCUGAUUUUUCUUAUACCAUUAAAUUUCUUCAUCUCAGAAUCUCUGCUUUUAGAGGGAGAGGAUCUCUUACUUCUUUGCCCAGUCCUUAAAUGUUUCUUAUGCUUAGAAAUCUAUUAUACUUCUUCCAACUCACUCUACAUAUUUUCCAGAGAAUGGAUCAGUAGUGCUCUACAUGCUGACAUCUUCCAAAUAUUUAUUUAUAGCUGGGAUUCCUCCCUUGAAUUGUCAACCUCUAAUUAUAUAAAUUGCUUGGGUAUUUCUCUUGCACAUAUCACUGGUGACUUAGAGACAAUUUGUCUAACUUGAACUCAUAAUCUUCUUCCCUUCCCAACUUUGUUAUACCUUACUUUACAUCCUCAGUUGUUCCCUUUCUCUGAAAGAUGUCACUAUUGACCUUGUAGUUCAAUUCGGAAAUAUAUAACCUUUUCUCCCAAUACUCAUAUGGAAUUAAUCAUCAAGUUCUCCCAGGACUUGCCUAUUAAUAUAUCUAGAGGCCAGCUACUUCUCAGCAGUCCUGGCACUACUCUUUUAGUUUGAGUAACCACCCCUUUUUGUUAGUUUUGUGUCAUUCUAUUUGUAACAGGUCCAUUUUUGUUCCCAUUUAUUCUUUACCUUUCUUGUAAGAUCAUUACAGUUCCCCACAACAUUAACCUCAGCCUUGGCGAUUUGGCUAUCUUUGGUUACUGUAAAGAGAAUUGGUAUAUAUGGUUUUAAAUUAGAAACUUGCUAUCCCAUGACUUAGCCAUAGAGUUACCUUUUUAUUGUAAGGUAAAACAUAGAUGCAGAAAACACAGACACAGAUACAGAAAACAAAAUAUAAUAAGUAUGUGACUAAGAAAAAAAAACAUUUGUAAAAAAAAACCGAGAUCAAGAAAUAGAAUUAGACUAGGGACUUGAGGCCAUGAGAAGGUGGCUGUCUGCAAGCCAGGAAGAAAGAUCUCACCAGAAACCAACUGUGCUGGCACUUUAAUCGUGGACUUUGAGCCUCCAGAACUGUGAGAAAAUAAAUUUCUGUUGUUUAAGCCACCCAGACUGAAGCAUUCAGCUAUGGCAGCCCAAGCAGAUUGACACACAUGGGCGGGUAGGUAACCAAAGCAGACUGUAUGACUGUAUUAGAGUAUAGGGACAUUGAGGGAGAUACAUGAACUCUAUUUUUCUGGGCCAACCAGCUUUAAGAAUCAAACUCUGGAACUACUAGAAGCCACUAUUCCUGGCACAUAGAAAAACCUGCUAAUGUAUAAUAAAUAUAUCAAAGCUGAGGGAUGGUGAUGAGUGGAUGAGGGAUAGUGAUGAGUGGAUGAGGGAGGUGAGGAGGAGGAGAGACAGAGAGAGAAGCAGAUGCAUUGUUUGAAAUUCCAGAUGCAGUCAUGUCAGAAGCCACAAUGCCCACUGGGUUUCUUAGUUACGCGAGGCAAUAAAUCCCCUUCCCUUCUCUGCUUCCUUCUUUAAAUUUAAUGAUUCUUUCUUCUUAUACAUAAUGAUUCUGUUUUAAUGAGGUCUUCCUCAUAUACCCUCAGUAAGAACAUGAGUGAAGGCAGAAAAUGAGCUCACAAGAGCAAGAGCAGUAGGCAGCUAUUUGAGAAGGGUAGGUAAGCAGGCUUCAGAACAUGCCCUUACAUGGUAUUUAGAUUACUGAAACAAGGGGAGAGAAUGGUGAGUGGGUAAAAAGAAAUCAAAGAUUCAACUAAGAUCAGACUUUAUGUCUACAAAAGAUCAUUUCUGGUAGUUCUCCAAAUACAUAUCAGUAUUAUUUAUUUAAAUUACUUGAAACCCACUUCUUUAGGCAUUGUUAUUAAAGAGAAAAAGCUCCUUUGUCAGCAUUCUUUACACCAUUAAUAACCUUCCAUACCCUGUUAUACUCUCCCUUGGUUAAGGCCACUAAAUAAUUGCUUUAUUUGCAUAUUUGUACCAUGUCCACCUCAUUAUGGAUAAUCAAUGCACCUUAUUAAUAGCAUCAGUAUCAAAAAAGAGAGAAAAAUCAUAUAAUUUACCAAUGACAAAACAAAUUUACCAAGAUCUGUGGUAAUUUCCUUCUAAUUCCUAAGUCAAAGCACUGACUUUGAGACAGUGCAUAUGGUUUUUAGACCUCUACAGGAGACAAGAAAUUAUAAAAUUCACAGGCAAAUUGUGGCUACUGCACUAGCUAACAUUUAAUCUGUGAUGACUACAUACUCCUCGUGACUUUAAGAGCUUUAAGUAUUUUAACUCAUUUAAUUCUUAGAACAUUGCUAUGAGUUCUGUAAUACUAUUGUUGUUUACCGAAGAGGAAACUGAGGCACAGAAAGCCCAAGCUCUUGCACAAGGAUCAGAAGGGGGUAUAACCAGAAUUUGUUUCUCAGCAUCCUGACCAACAAUUAUUUUACCUACUAAACAGGGAAGCCUUUCAAAUAUAAUCCAGGGUAUCCGCUUCAUUUUACAACUAAAGAAAUGAAGGCUGGGUAAGGAUAAAGGACUCACAAAGAUCGUGUGUUUAGGUAAUGAUUGAACUAUGACAGAAACUCCCAUUCUCCAGAUUUCCAAUUCUGAACUCUCCCUUCUCUGUCUAUAAUAAAGUUCUCCAAACCAAAAAUAUAUAGUGACUUCAAUCAUCUAGGGACCUAACAUUUCUUACCAUUUUGAAGUGGCUUUGUAAUGUUUAACUUGGCUAGUCUGAACUUCGUUUUCUGGAAUUUCCUUUCUUGUAUGCUUCUGUUUAGGAUGGACCACAAAGACAUUCUUCUGUGAGACUUAGAGAAAGGAAGCAAAACAGGCACCAUGUUGUUGCUCACAUAUGUUGCUGCUGAUCUUUCAACUGACCUCAUUGGCAUGAGGCUACAGCUGGGCCUGAGACUGCUCUAUAUUUUCUUAAAUUGUCCUUCAGUUUCUUUGAUUCUUGGGCCAAGUGUGUGUGUUUAACUUCAUGAUGAAAAACUUCAACUACUUCAGAUCAUCCGUGCCAAAAAUUUCAGAGGCAGUGAGAACAUACACAGGUUUCAAUGUAAAUUCUCACUGGGUUUCAGCCUAUGCCUGUAGCUUCCAGCUUCUUCUAAAUCUCCCUGACUUUACAUAUGUCUUUCAUUACUGGCUUCCCAGCCACUCCAGUCAUUAUAUAAUGGGCUCAUAAAUAAAGUGGCCAUCAUGGCAGGAAUCAAGGUUAUCUAUGGCAUCACCAACAUGAAUUUUCUUUCACCCAAGCCAAUAUAGCUACAGCCAUUGCCGAAUACCCCGAAUUGCAGGAAUGGGGCCAUUCCUGCAAUAUGGCCCCAUUUCCUGAAGGAUCAGCCAGCUACCUGUUGCCAGGUUAAUUACAUUGGGCCACUUCUGUCAUUGUAGGCACAGCAUUUUGUUUUCACUGGUCAAGCUAUUAAUCUGGAUAUAGAUUUGCCUUCUUACUUGCAGUGCAUCUUCAAACUGUCCACAGAUUUACAGGAUAUCUUAUUCACCAUAUUCCACAUAGCAUCAUUUCUGACCAAGAAACUCAUUUCACAGCAAAUAAAGUGCAGCAAUACACCCAAACCCAUGGAAUUUACUGGUCUAAUCAUAUUCUCUAUUGUGCUGAAGCAGCUAGCUUGAUGGACUGAUGAAAUGGCCCUUUCAAGUCUUAUUCAUGACAGCAUCUGGGUGGCAACAUAAUGCAGGGCUAGAAAAAUGUCCUCCAGGAUAAAAUAUGUGCAUUAAAUCAGCAUAUGGUAUAUGACGUUGUUUCUCUAACAACUAGGAUUUACAUAUCUAGGAACCAAGGGGUAGAAAUAAGAAUGCUUCCUCUGAACAUUAUCCCUAGCAAUCCAAUAACUGGAUUUUUGUCUUCCAUCCUUACCACUUCAGUUUCUGCUGGUCUAGACAUCUGGGUUCCAAAAGAAGAAUGCAUCUCCCAGGAGACAUGACAAUGAUUCCAUUCAACAGGAAGUUGAGACUGCCACCUGAACACUUUGGGCUCCUCAUGCCUCUGAAUCAACGGGCAAAGAAGAGAGUUAUAGAUCCUAACCACCCAGGAGAAAUUCGGUGGCCACUACACAAACAGACUUUUCUGACUCUGCGGCCAGGUGUUUGUAUUUAACUCCACGGUGAGGAGACUCAUCUUCUGACGGACCUAACCUAUACCAUCAAGCUCCAGCACCACAAGCAAAGACAAAAACCUUGCGGAAACUAUUUAACUAACUCCCACAAUUGCAUAAGAAGAGUCAUGAUCCUAAGAACAGAAGGGAGAUCCCUGUUGCUUUGACUUCUUGCUGUCCUCCUGCUAUUUGGCUCAAAAUGCAAACUCAGUUAUGAGAAGUACAUAGAAGAACAGGUAAACUAAAGCCUGGGCUUUUUCACCAGAGGAUGUGGAAAAGAGGCUUCAGGAAAUUGAGAAGUAUUAUGGAGAUUGCAAAAAUGAGGGAGCUGAAGAAAGAGUUAGAAUGACAGUGAAUGUGAGAAGAGAGAGAGAUGAAUACCACGAAGUUGCGUAUGUACUGCUGGACUAUACCCUGAACUGAGCAUGUAAACAUCUGACCACAGAUGGUAUAAUAAGGCUUUGAAAACUAAGCUACAAUAAAGACCAUCACCCAGGCCAAAAAUUGCUACUUGGAAAUGCACACACAGACUGAUCCAAAUAGCAUUGAAAACACUUAAAGAAAUGGUGCAGACAUUGGAGUCACAAUCCAAAGAAGGCAGAUCAGAGUUUGUUCCAUAAGCCUGAAUAGGUUGAUUGCUUAAUAUAAGAAGAAAAUCAACCUUUUUCUUAUGAUUUAAGACAUAAUCAGAGUCUCAUAACAUAUUCUCAAAAUGCCCAGGAUAUAAUUUAAAAUUAUUUGGCAUAUGAGAAACCAGUGUGAUCGUCUCUUAACUCUUAAAGAAAAAGACAAUUAAAAAUAUCACAAUCAAAAUGACAGGAAUGUUGUAUUUAUCAGAUAAAGACAUUAAAGAGAUAUUAUAACCAUGCUCUAACAGGCAAAUGAAAAGACUCAUAAUGAAUAGAAAAAUAGAAGGUCUCAGCAAAGAGAAAGAAUAUAUGAAGAUGAAAAAUGGAAAUUUUAGAACUGGACAAUGUGACAGUCCAAAGAGAAAAUUCACUGGAUGGACUAAAUAGGAUAAUGGAGAUAACAGAGGAAAAGAGGCAGAUGACUUGAAUACCGAUCAUGAGAAAUUAACUAUUUCAAAGAAGAGAGUAAAAAGAGACUUAAAAAUAAAAUGAACAGAGCCUCUGAGUCCUGUGAAACAAUGUCAAAAAGCCUAAUAUUGGUGUCAUCUGAACCACAGAAGGAGGAAGAAAGUAUGAGAAAAAAUAUCUAAAGAAAAAUAGCCAGAAACUUCCUUAAUUUGGCGAAAGAUAAAAUCUUAAAGAUGCCUGAGGAGGCUCAGGAAACUCUAAGGAGAAGAAGCUACAAAAAAUCUACACUCUAAAACUUCUGAAAUUAAAAAACAAAGAAAAAAUUUUUGAAUGCACCCAGAAACUCAAUACAAAUGGAGAAUUCUGAUUUGAAUACUGUAUAUUUUAUAUAAGGAAACAUGGUAGUUAAGGGGAAGUGGAACAACAUUUUUUAAGUGAUGCAAAAAAUGAUUCUAUAUUCAGAAAUCUUUAUCCAGUAAAAAUAUUCUUGAUAAAUGAAAAUCAAAUAAAGAUAUUCCUGAUGAAACUAAACUAAGAGCAUUUGCUGUCAGUAAGAAACCUGUAACACCAGGAAUAAAGGAAGAGUAACAGAUUUGGUAAAAUAUAAGAGACUAUUCUUCUCUCCUUCAGUUCUUUAAAAUAUGCACAAUGAUUAAAAACAUAAAUUAUAACAAAAUAUACAACAUAAAAGGAGAAUAAAUGUACCUAUAUUUUGAUGAUUUUCUGCUUACCCUUUAAAGUGAUAAAAUAUUGACUCUAAAUAGAAUGUAAAAAAGUAAGUAUAUGUGUCAUAAUCCCUACAGGGAAACGACCAAAAAUACUAUACAAAGUGAUAUCUUCAAAAACUCAAUGAUAAAUUAAAAUAGAAUACUGAAAAAGAAAAAAAAAAGCAUUUACCUAAUCCCAAAGAAGGCAGCAAAGGGGAGACAAAAAAAUGAAAAAGAAAAAUUAGAAAACCAGCAGUAAAAUGGUAGAUCUAAAUUUAAACAUGCUGAUAAUUCUAUUAAAUUUGAAUGUUUUAAACUCAUCACUUGAAAUACAGAGAUUGUCAAGAUAUCUUUAAUUUUUUAAGAAAACAACCCAUAUCUAUCUACAACAACCCUAGUUUAUAUAUAAUUAGAGUAAAAGUAAAUGGAUGGCAAAAAUGGUAUACAACAACUAAUCAAAAGAAAACUGUAGUAGCUAUAUGUUAACA